UAGGUAGUUAUGUUUUUUUUUUUAUUCAGAUACAAUAUUAUUUUAUUAUUUUAUGAUAGAUUAAGUAGAUUUUAUUUUUAAGACAGUUGAUAUUUUAUUUUUAGAUUUUAUUUUUAUUUUUGUAAUAUUAUAAGUAUCACAACUAUUUAAAGUCUUUCAAUUAUCAUUAAAUAACAGACUCAAUUUUAAGAAAAUAUUUGAGUGUGUAUUGUGAGGUUUUCUUAGGAGAGUGGGACUCUAUUUAUAAAACUAAGGAAGAGGAUGGUCUUGGAGUAAAGGAUUUGAGUUUGUUUACCAUGGCUUUAUAGGAUAAAUGGAAGUGGAGAUUAAGAAAAGGAACUAGUGGGUUAUCGUAAAGGAUUCAAAUCACGAGUCUUAGUGGCGGAUAGAUAUUAGGACUAUUUUUAGGAGUAGACAAAAAGACUUAAUUGGUUUGUUAGCAAUUGGAAAUGGAGCAUUGGCGAAGCCAAUAAAUAAAGUUUUGAGAAAAUAUGAGGA
RNAcentral lists this long non-coding RNA (498 nucleotides) under Vigna radiata. Its description in RNAcentral is "long non-coding RNA (VRAD_LNC002102)". Lineage: Eukaryota; Viridiplantae; Streptophyta; Magnoliopsida; Fabales; Fabaceae. The record is from RNAcentral.